RNAcentral lists this ribosomal RNA (253 nucleotides) under uncultured bacterium. RNAcentral describes it as "partial 16S ribosomal RNA". It matches the Rfam family "Bacterial small subunit ribosomal RNA", at positions 524 to 776 of the family's 1533-position model. The record is from RNAcentral.
GACAGAGGUGCCGAGCGUUAGGCGGAAUCACUGGGCUUAAAGCGUGUGUAGGCGGAUCGUUAAGUGCCUUGUGAAAUCCCACGGCUCACCCGUGGAACUGCUGGGCAUACUGGCGGUCUUGAGCCACCUAGGGGCAACCGGAACAAACGGUGGAGCGGUGAAAUGCGUAGAUAUCGUUUGGAACGCCAAUGGUGAAAACAGGUUGCUGGGGGUGUGCUGACGCUGAGACACGAAAGCCAGGGGAGCAAACAGG